UACAACUUUCAGCAACGGAUCUCUUGGCUCUCGCAUCGAUGAAGAACGCAGCGAAAUGCGAUAAGUAAUGUGAAUUGCAGAAUUCAGUGAAUCAUCGAAUCUUUGAACGCACCUUGCGCUCCUUGGUAUUCCGAGGAGCAUGCCUGUUUGAGUGUCAUUAAAUUAUCAA
RNAcentral lists this ribosomal RNA (169 nucleotides) under Conobolbitina dasypus. Its description in RNAcentral is "Pholiotina dasypus 5.8S ribosomal RNA". It matches the Rfam family "5.8S ribosomal RNA". From Rfam's summary of the family: 5.8S ribosomal RNA (5.8S rRNA) is a component of the large subunit of the eukaryotic ribosome. RNAcentral also lists the same sequence under 4 other names. Lineage: Eukaryota; Fungi; Basidiomycota; Agaricomycetes; Agaricales; Bolbitiaceae. The record is from RNAcentral.